Molecule: ribosomal RNA, 252 nt
Filed under: uncultured bacterium
Lineage: Bacteria
Description: partial 16S ribosomal RNA
Rfam family: Bacterial small subunit ribosomal RNA
Source: RNAcentral
UACGGAGGAUGCGAGCGUUAUCCGGAUUUAUUGGGCUUAAAGGGUGCGUAGGCGGACGCUUAAGUCAGCGGUAAAAUUGCGGGGCUCAACCUCGUCGAGCCGUUGAAACUGGGUGCCUUGAGUGGGCGAGAAGUACGCGGAAUGCGUGGUGUAGCGGUGAAAUGCAUAGAUAUCACGCAGAACUCCGAUUGGGAAGGCAGCGUACCGGCGCCCAACUGACGCUGAAGCACGAAGGCGUGGGUAUCGAACAGG